Pelobates cultripes (western spadefoot toad) is the source of this 224-nucleotide non-coding RNA. The record is from the annotation of a GenBank genome assembly. Lineage: Eukaryota; Metazoa; Chordata; Amphibia; Anura; Pelobatidae.
GCUUAACUGGAGUCUCGCUGUCUUCUAUCCACCCUGCAUCAGCUUCUGUCCUCCAGGACCGUGUGGGAAGACCUCUCCUCCAGGAGAGCGUAUCAGGAACAAGCUCUUAAAAGAGCUGAGUGAUUAAAGCUCAGGGGAGUAUGCAGAGCAUAGCAAUCCCCAGUGUUAUAUAGCAGUUCUCUCCAAUCACGAGACAAGACUACGUGUUGAGGGUCAAGAAGAUC